AGAGUUUGAUCAUGGCUCAGGAUGAACGCUAGCUACAGGCUUAACACAUGCAAGUCGAGGGGAAACGACAUCGAAAGCUUGCUUUUGAUGGGCGUCGACCGGCGCACGGGUGAGUAACGCGUAUCCAACCUGCCCACCACUUGGGGAUAACCUUGCGAAAGUAAGACUAAUACCCAAUGACGUCUCUAGAAGACAUCUGAAAGAGAUUAAGAUUUAUCGGUGAUGGAUGGGGAUGCGUCUGAUUAGCUUGUGGCGGGGUAACGGCCCACAAGGCGACGAUCAGUAGGGGUUCUGAGAGGAAGGUCCCCCCANUUGGAACUGAGACACGGUCCAAACUCCUAGGGAGGCA
This 349-nucleotide ribosomal RNA is filed under the name uncultured bacterium. Its description in RNAcentral is "bacterial SSU rRNA". It matches the Rfam family "Bacterial small subunit ribosomal RNA", at positions 8 to 350 of the family's 1533-position model. The record is from RNAcentral.